UGUGUAGGCGGUUCUUUAAGUUUGCUGUGAAAUCUCCCGGCUUAACCGGGAGGGUGCGGUGAAUACUGAGGGACUAGAGUACGGGAGAGGAAAGUGGAAUUCCUGGUGUAGCGGUGAAAUGCGUAGAUAUCAGGAGGAACACCGGUGGUGUAGACGGCUUUCUGGACCGUAACUGACGCUGAGACACGAAAGCGUGGGUAGCAAAACA
Molecule: ribosomal RNA, 208 nt
Filed under: uncultured bacterium
Lineage: Bacteria
Description: partial 16S ribosomal RNA
Rfam family: Bacterial small subunit ribosomal RNA
Source: RNAcentral